UUUAUCUUUUGAUUUCUUUCUCGUUGUCAUCUCAUAGGUUCCCCAUAGUUCCGAAAGAAUGUUGUUGAUUGGGCUUGCUUCAAUGAUAGGAAAGAUGCUUUCAUAGACUUUCUUUAGAAGUUUUUCCCCUAUUAAAGGUGGUUUGUAUCUCUCACCUCUCUUCAUUUCUUUUUCUUUCAAUUGUUUGAAGCCACAAAAUAAAUU
RNAcentral lists this long non-coding RNA (204 nucleotides) under Glycine max (soybean). Its description in RNAcentral is "long non-coding RNA (GMAX_LNC000401)". Lineage: Eukaryota; Viridiplantae; Streptophyta; Magnoliopsida; Fabales; Fabaceae. The record is from RNAcentral.